GACGAACGCUGGCGGCGUGCCUAAUACAUGCAAGUAGAACGCUGAAGGAGGAGCUUGCUCUUCUGGAUGAGUUGCGAACGGGUGAGUAACGCGUAGGUAACCUGCCUGGUAGCGGGGGAUAACUAUUGGAAACGAUAGCUAAUACCGCAUAACAGUAGAUGUUGCAUGACAUUUACUUAAAAGGUGCAAUUGCAUCACUACCAGAUGGACCUGCGUUGUAUUAGCUAGUUGGUGGGGUAACGGCUCACCAAGGCGACGAUACAUAGCCGACCUGAGAGGGUGAUCGGCCACACUGGGACUGAGACACGGCCCAGACUCCUACGGGAGGCAGCAGUAGGGAAUCUUCGGCAAUGGACGGAAGUCUGACCGAGCAACGCCGCGGGAGUGAAGAAGGGUUUCGGAUCGUAAAGCUCUGUUGUAAGAGAAGAACGAGUGUGAGAGUGGAAAGUUCACACUGUGACGGUAUCUUACCAGAAAGAGACGGCUAACUACGUG
Molecule: ribosomal RNA, 495 nt
Filed under: uncultured bacterium
Lineage: Bacteria
Description: partial 16S ribosomal RNA
Rfam family: Bacterial small subunit ribosomal RNA
Source: RNAcentral